Neofelis nebulosa (Clouded leopard) is the source of this 5720-nucleotide long non-coding RNA. RefSeq lists it as uncharacterized. The transcript has 2 exons. Lineage: Eukaryota; Metazoa; Chordata; Mammalia; Carnivora; Felidae. The record is from RefSeq and is a predicted model, not a curated record.
CGUCUGCUUCCAGCCGCCGGGAGCAGGAAGUGUAGCACCUCCUCCAAGAAUUCCCUCAGCUGGCACGCAUCCCUUCUGCUCCCGUCCCUUGGGCCAGGUCCCAGGGGCAUCUGGGCCUGCAGCUGUGGAGGACGCCAGGGCCCAUGCUGGGGAGCAGCCCGGGAAAGCCGGGGCCAGUUCUCCUCACCCCCACCCCCACCCCCGCCACCCACUCUGGGCCUCGGCCCUGCUCCCCAAGGCCAUGGAGGGCUGGUGUGUCAGGAGCGCCCGGGGUGUGGAGGAUGGGGGCGGGCAGUGUGUGGGCCUCCACUCGUGGGGCGGGGACCCCGCACUGCAGCAGGCCCAGAGGGCUGGAAUUGCUGUCCCCACCCACCCACCCACCCACCCCUGGGGCCCAGGCCUUCCACAAAAGGACUGACUGUGUUUGCACAGAGGGUGAGGUUCAAGGGUGCUUGUGGAAAGUGGAGCUCGCAGAGAACAGCACGUGGGAGGAGCGGUGGACCGACUGGGGACACAGGCUGAACUGUAGGCUGGUCAGGGACAAUCUCAGACACCUAUCUCAGGAGCUGUUCUUUCAAAGGAGCCAAAUUUGGUUGGAUUAGUCAGUGAAGCCCUUUACGCCCAGGGCGUCAGUAAUGAAGACAGCAGAGCACUCGGCCGGCAGGGAGAGGAGCUCAGGGGCCGGGAAGACAGCCAGAGCCGCUGUCCUCCCAGGGUGACUGUGGGUGAGCCCAGGGCUGCGCCCCUGGCCAGCAGUGGGAGGCUGGAGCAGAAGCUGUUGGGGGAGGCCGCCCCGCCGCCCCCGAGAUGGGACUGGUAACACGAUCCAGCCUGGGUGACCCGUGCCCGGAACUGCUACAGCACAUUACCUAAAGCGACUAGUCUCCUACCUGGACGUGCAAGGAAACAGCCCGUGUGGCCCAGACCCCAGGAAACAAAGUAGGCCCUGGAACUGGCAGUGUGUGAAUUAGACUGAGCAGGAGGAGACUUGAAAGUGGCCGCCGUAGAUACAGUCAGAGGAAAGAAAACCAGCAUCAAACAGGGAAGGGAAAGUAGUGAAGGAAGGUGCCAUCACAGCGACGCAACUAAUGGAACCAAUGAAAAGAUCAGAAUUAACUAAAAAGUAAAAGAACCAAGUGGAAAUUCUGGAGUUGUAAAAUACAGCAAGCACGAUGGAAGGUUCACUAGAGGGGCUCAACAGUAGCCAUGAGCUGACAGAAGAAGAUCCACGAUCUUGACCUAGAGACCUACAGAUCACACAACGCAAAGACAGUGACGGGAAAGGAGCAAACAGUCUCGGAGAAACGGGGACACCCAGGUGCACCGUCGGAGCCGCAGGACGGGGAGGGCAGGAGACAGAAGGGAAAGAAUACGCAAAGAAACAGUGGCUGAAAAUCCCCAGAUUUAUCAGGAAACGUCCACCGACAAGUCCAGCCGGCUCGGCGAGCUCCAGUGGGACCAACGCUACGAUCCAGAGUCCGGGAAAGCCCUCCCUGGUCACGAGAGCGCCCCACGAGGCUGGCAGCUGACCCCAGGCGCGGGGACGGCAUCGUCCAAGUGCUCGAAGAGAACCCACAGCCAAGACUCCUGCGUCCACCAAAACUGUCUUUCCGAAUAAAGAGAGAGAACGACGUUUGCAGAUACACAAAACCCGAGAGAGUUUGGUACCAGUGGACCCACCUUCUGAGAAACACUGAAGUUCCUCAGGCUCAAAGCAAGUGACCCCGACAGUAGUUCAGAUCCACUCAGAACAAAAAGAAGCUUGGGGAAGACAGUUCUGUCCUGAUGGGAGACCUAGGAGACCGUGUCCAGUUAACCCUCGGACAUCUCUGCGUUUGGGGCGCCCGCCCCCCCCCCCCCCCCCGCUACCCUUUCCUCUGGCAGCUUCUUUAAAAGCAUGCCAUCACACAAGGUGGGUGUCUUGGCCCCGUGUUGUUGAGUUCAUCGCGUUUACAGUGUGCUGUGUCUCAUGGUCACACCGGGAAGGGGUGUGGGGCUGCCGUCUCCAGCAGGAAGUGAGCGAGGGCACAUCUGAAGUCCGUUCUGGCCGGCCUGAGAGCGGCUGCCCAGGAGGUAACUCAAAAGUAGUGACAGAUGCAUCACAGGAAUUAAAGUGCUACGUUAGAAGAAAACAUAAAAGCAGCAGAUGAGGGCUGGAGGGACCGGAAGGCCCGGGACCCUCAGCAGCGGGACCUUCCAGCCUCCCUGGCCCUGGCUGAGGUGACAGCGUGGUCCCCGUUGUGCAGAGCAGGGGUCGAGGCCCUGAGCUGGUCCGCGCCACGGCAGAGGUCUUGCUGCGGCCCCUGGAACCCGUCAUCCCGCAGAGGGGGGCCCCGGAGUGCACCAGCCGUGGCCGUGCUUGUGGCCUCAAGGGCCAGCGCUGCUGUGCUCCUGGCCGCUUGUCCCUCUGGGAGCCAGGAAGGACGCCGUGCCGCCACUGCCAUUUCAGGCCGCGCGGAACCUCCAGGCACGCUGAUUUAUUUAAAAUUGACCUUUGUCAGUAAACUCGCCUGAGAGAAUGUGUUCUACGUUUUGGCGACGAAGCGCGUCUCGUGAUGGAGUGAGACAGGCUGCUGUUCUGCAGGCACCCACACGGGGCAGCGUGCGCUUACCGCCACCUGUCCCAGCGGGGGCCCAAGUCCUCACCUCCGCAGACAGCGCCCCCCACCACCUGUGCCCCUCUGUCCCACCCCAGCAGUUUCCAGGGGGUCAGGCACACGGAGCAAGAUGAGCGGUCUCCCACGGAGGGAAGGGCGCUUCAGGGCAGGGGGCGCGGGGUGGGGUGGCUCCCCGCGGUGCUGCAGGACCCCGGAGGGGCGGAUUGCCUCCUCCUCCGGCCACUCCCCGCUCUCCAGCCUGACGCUGGGUGUGCUCCCUGCUCGAGGACUGGGGUCCUGGAUGUCUACACCUGUGCUUAUCCAUCUGGACCGGGGACUUCCGGGAGGCCGGGACAAGCUUCUUACUGGACGCCGUGUGGGCCUGGCACAGAGGGAUAUUCAGGGAGGCAAGGGCGGGGGGGAUGGGGAAGCAGUUCUCAUAACCAAGAAAGUUCUUGGCUAGGAGCCACAGGACAGGAGGUGCGGCUCUGGCCACCCAGUCCCCAAGGCUGUGUGUGCACCCCACCCUCCAGUCCCAGAGACCCACGGGGUGGCAGGAGGGAGAGGGAGCCGGCUCCGAGGAGCGGACGCCGAGUGGGCACAGCUAAGAGCCAGACCAGGUUUAGGGACCCAGCUAACCGCCCGGCAGAGAAGACGGGCAGCAUCACAGAGCCAACAUGGACUUGGGAGCCAGCGGGCCUAGGACAGUCUCACGUGCCCAAAGUGGGGAACGGUGGCUCUUCUCCCAGUGCCUGUAGCUGAGGAUGUGGGUCACGUACUCAUUUCUCAGGUCUUUAUCGAGGCUCUUCGGGUCCUGGGGGCUGCCUGGCCACUGGGACAGAGGUGAUCGGGAUGAGGGGUCCGAGAGCCCACGGUGUCGCCCGAGGCAGGGGGUGCUCAGCCUCGGAGCGGGGAUUGGGGUGCAGGAGAGGCCUGUGGGAAAGCAGCCUGGAGAACAGAGAGGGCUUCGUGGAAGUGGCAGGCGUAGAACUGGGGCCUGGGAGGGUGUGUAGGAGUUCUCCCGCUGAAGUUGGGAGCGGUGCCCUGUGGGCAGACCAGGGGUGAAGAGGCUGUGGCAGGGCAGGAGUGACCCCCCGGUGGGGUGGCCACCCAGCAGGACAGGACCCUUGAGGCCCAGCGGGUGGGGUCAUGGGCUGCCUCCCACCCUGCCCUUCCCAGUACUGCUCUGGCAUCUGUCUGGGCUCCUUCCUCGCCCCUCCCCAUCAGGGCAGCCGGCCAGGGAGCCGCGUCCCCCGUCCCCCAGUGCUGCGGCUCUCCUUGUCCAGGGGGCAGGUGACACCCCUUCACUGUUUCAGGCCGUGACUCCUGAUGACUGAAAACCUCCGAUCCGCAGCAGGAUCUCUGGGAGACGCAGAAUCUCGGGGAGAUUUUGGAUACCCUAGGAACCUGAGUUGAGUUGACUGAGGGACCCUCAGAUGGACAAGAGGGAGCCUGGGCAGGAAGGCGAGGCCCUCGGGAAUCUGACUGUGGGACCACCUACUGAUGUAGGGCCCCUGUGUGGACGUGGCCCCCCAGAACCGGACACCAGAGCACAGAGGUCACCAGGCUGCCUGCUCGGGAGAAGCCCCACAGGUCUGAGUUUGGACAGUACAUUUCCUGGGGACACCCCGCGGAGGCCCUCUCUUCACGUGAUGCCCCCACCCCCGGUCAAGCACCCAGGCCAUCUCAUGCUACAGAGGCAAGCCUCGGCCUGGCCCGUGUGUUGAGAACCAUCGUCACGAGGUCCACCUUGAAACGUGAACCGUGGGCUCGCUGGGCUGGGCGGGCCCGGUGCAUGGUGUUGCCGUGGGGGCAUCAGCUGCUCUGGGGGCCCGAGGCCGGCACUGUUUGCAGCUGGUCCGGAAGGGUACAGUGGCUCAUAGACCCCGUCGGGGAGGCUGCAGGGGACUUUUGAGCACGUGACCCCCAAAGUCAGUGUGAGCCCCCACCAGUGAGGGGGCCCCUGUGGCCCCCAAGCCAGUGGAGGAGGUGCUGUGUGUGGUGACACUGAGGUGGCUGCGGAGGGAGGCGGAUACACUUCGAGACCUAGUUCGAGGGACCUGAUCUGUGCAGGCAGGGACUCGGCCGCCGGGAGGAGGGGAGUCCAGUCUGGAGAUGAGCAUGUGGGGGCGGCCCACUGAUCGGCCCCGGAUCAGUGCCCCCCUCACCUGGUCGUUGUGGGCUGGCACUUUCCCUUCUCCCUCCCCCUUCCCUGCCAGCCACAUCCCUGUCCCGCUUUCUGCUUUGGGCCCCGCUGCUGCAGGGCGGCAAGGGUGGGGGUCCCGGCCGGACACGGGGAGGGGGGUGACAAACAUGGCGAGACACGCAGUCUUUGGGGGAGCUCUGGCCUCCCCGGCAGGAGGCUGGUGGGGGGGCUGGUGGGUCCCUGGGGCCGCCUCCCACUCCUCUGGCAAGCCCACCACCGCACGCGCCUGCUUCCCACUCAAAUACGUCAUUUUGCCCUUUCUCUGGGGCAAUAAUUUUAAUAAACGGCUUUUUUUCUGUGAGCCCAGAGUGUGAGGCUUCCUCUUAGCUCAGGAAGAUGCCUGUUGCCAGCAGCUCUAACGAGGGCACCCGUAAAUCUCUUAUUUGUGGCUCCAAAAAUGAGGUCAUGGGCUCUCACUGUACCUCAUUAUUUAAUUAAACAGAUAUUAAGACAACAGAGUGGGGCCAGGGCUCCAGGUGAGGGGAGGUAUCAGAGGGAGGAGCCCGGGGCUGCGGGGAACGUGCUGCGGGUUCGGUUCGUUCCCCCACCCCCACCCCCACCCCACCCGCCCUGCGCCCUCGGAGGUGCCGACCCUGUGGCCUCCUGGGCUGGGCCAGCCGUGCCCUGUGCAGGACCCUCCGCUCUGGCCCACCCACAGGCUUCUGACCGCGUGGAGGAUGCUGCCCUGCAAAGAGAGCUGCCCCCAUCCCCGGCUGCCCUGCAAAGAGAAUUGCCGGCUCCCCACCCGCCACCUCCGGAAGGACGGGAGAUUCACGGCCCCGCGCCCGUUUUACUGCCGCUGAAACAAUUAAGUUAAUAAAACAGCCUUCCUGUUUCUUGACCUCCAUCAAAGACCAUCAUAAUUGUCUUCAGCCUGCCGUCUGCCAGGUAAUAAAUUGUUACGGGCUUCUCUCUCA